CAGGGAAUCUUGCGCAAUGGGCGAAAGCCUGACGCAGCGACGCCGCGUGGGGGAUGAAGGCCUUCGGGUUGUAAACCCCUUUCAGGAGGGACGAUAAUGACGGUACCUCCAGAAGAAGCCCCGGCCAACUACGUGCCAGCAGCCGCGGUAAUACGUAGGGGGCAAGCGUUGUCCGGAUUUAUUGGGCGUAAAGAGCUCGUAGGCGGCUCAGCAAGUCGGUCGUGAAAACCCGGGGCUCAACCCCGGGAGGCCGGUCGAUACUGCUGUGGCUAGGGUCCGGUAGAGGAGAGUGGAAUUCCCGGUGUAGCGGUGGAAUGCGCAGAUAUCGGGAGGAACACCAGUAGCGAAGGCGGCUCUCUGGGGCCGGUACCGACGCUGAGGAGCGAAAGCUAGGGGAGCAAACGAGGAUUAGAUACCCUGGUAGUCCUAGCCGUAAACGUUGGGCACGUAGGUGUGGCGGUCUGGACCAACGACUGCCGUGCCGUAGCUAACGCAUUAAGUGCCCCGCCGUGGGGAGUAC
This 520-nucleotide ribosomal RNA is filed under the name uncultured Actinomycetes bacterium. RNAcentral describes it as "bacterial SSU rRNA". It matches the Rfam family "Bacterial small subunit ribosomal RNA", at positions 355 to 883 of the family's 1533-position model. The record is from RNAcentral. Lineage: Bacteria; Bacillati; Actinomycetota; Actinomycetes.